AACGCGAAGAACCUUACCAGGGCUUGACAUCCCUUGCUCGCUAUGGAAACAUAGUUUUCCGUCCUUCGGGCCGGACGAGGAGACAGGUGGUGCAUGGUUGUCGUCAGCUCGUGUCGUGAGAUGUUGGGUUAAGUCCCGCAACGAGCGCAACCCCUACGUUUAGUUGCCAUCAUUAAGUUGGGCACUCUAGAGGAACUGCCGGUGACAAACCGGAGGAAGGUGGGGAUGACGUCAAAUCAUCAUGCCCCUUAUGUCCUGGGCUACACACGUGCUACAAUGGGCGGUACAGAGGGCAGCGAAGCCGUGAGGUGGAGCGAAUCCCAAAAAGCCGUUCUCAGUUCGGAUUGUAGUCUGCAACUCGACUACAUGAAGUCGGAAUCGCUAGUAAUCGCGAGUCAGCAUAUCGCGGUGAAUACGUUCCCGGGUCUUGUACACACCG
RNAcentral lists this ribosomal RNA (439 nucleotides) under uncultured bacterium. RNAcentral's name for it is "bacterial SSU rRNA". It matches the Rfam family "Bacterial small subunit ribosomal RNA", at positions 958 to 1392 of the family's 1533-position model. The record is from RNAcentral.